UGGACACACCAGGGUGACUUGACGCUGAC
This 29-nucleotide non-coding RNA is filed under the name Homo sapiens (human). Lineage: Eukaryota; Metazoa; Chordata; Mammalia; Primates; Hominidae. The record is from RNAcentral.